AAUGGCCGAAAUCUUUAAGGAGGAAAAUAUUUUGGAGAAUGUCGUGAUUAAAGAAGAGAUUCAAGAAGAAAUCCCUCCGUCCUCUUCUGUAGAGGACACGGGUCCUUUAGAGGACACAUGUACUGUUUACAUAAAAGAAGAAAGUGAACCAUCUGAUUACAUCAAGGAAGAAAUCAAUCCAUCUGUUCAUAUAAAAGAAAAAAUCCCGCCAUCUGUUGACAUAAAGGAAGAAAUCCCGCCAUCUGUUUACACAAAGGAAGAAAUCCCGCCAUCUGUUUACACAAAGGAAGAAAUCCCGCCAUCUGUUUACAUAAAGGAAGAAGAUGUAAAAGUUGAAAUAACCGAAACUAAAGAUUUUAGUAACGGGGUCGAUCCUUUCCGAUUGACAGAGAGGAACAAGAAACGGAAACUAGAAGAAAGGAAUUAUCCAUGUGGUAAAUGUGAGUACUCUACGCCUAGAUUAAAUCGUCUAAAACACCACAUUUUGAAUAAACACGAAGGAGUAAGAUAUCCUUGUGACAAAUGUGAUUUCGCUUCAACCUCUGCACAUUAUAUCAGAAAGCAUAUUCAGAGUGUACAUGAAGGAGUGAAAUAUCCUUGCGAUAAGUGUGAGUAUAUAACACACAAAGAAAUUUAUCUUAAAAAACACAAAGAAAAUAAGCAUGAGGAAGUGAGAUAUCAUUGUGAUAAAUGUGAAUACAUAGGAACUACGGCGAGUAAUUUCAAAAGACAUAAAGAGAAUAAACACGAAGGAGUAAGACAUCCUUGUGACAAAUGCGAGUUCGCUUCAACGACUAAAUGGGAACUAAAAAGACAUUUUGAGAAUGUACAUGAAGGGGUGACAUAUCCUUGUGAUAAAUGUGAGUAUGUUGCAAGUAGAGAAAGUUAUCUUAGAAACCAUAUUAAGAGUAAACAUGAGGAAGUGAGAUUUCAUUGUGAUAAGUGUGAGUACGCAGCGACUACAGCGGGAAAUCUUAAAACGCAUAGGGAGAUUAAGCAUGAUGGACUCAGAUAUCCCUGUGUUAUGUGUGAAUACAUUGCGACUACAGUAACUGAUCUCAAAACACAUAUUGAGAGUAGGCACAUAGGCUUGAGAUAUCCUUGUGAUAAGUGUGAAUACGCUGCAAUUACACCAAGUAUUCUAAAAAUGCAUAUUAAGCACAAACACGAAGGAGUGAGAUAUCCUUGUGAUAAAUGCGAGUUCAGUGCAUCUUCGUCUAGAUAUCUUAGACUUCAUAUAGAGAAUAAGCAUGAAGGAGUGAGUUAUCCGUGUUCUCAAUGCGAUUUUACUGCAUCUUUGGCAAGUCACCUUAGAACACAUAUUAAAAGUAAACAUGAAGGAGUGAGAAAGAGAUAUCCAUGUGAUAAAUGUGAACACGCUGCUACUACACCAAGUGCUCUUAGAAUCCAUAUUGAGAGCAAACAUGAAGGAUUGAAAUAUCCUUGUGAGAGAUGUGAGUACACGGCACCAAGAGAAAAUGAUCUGAAGCAGCAUAUUAAGAGAAUGCAUGAAGGAGUGAGAUUUCCUUGUGAUCAAUGUGAGCACACUUCUUCUACAACUAGUAAUCUUAAAAUCCAUAUUGAGAGUAAACACAAAGGUGUUAGACAUCCUUGCACUAAAUGUGAGUUUGUUGCAACUACAGCUGGUAAUCUUAGAAGACAUAUUGAAAAUAAGCAUGAAGAAGUGAGAUAUCCGUGUGAUAAAUGUGAAUACUCUGCAACACAAGUAGGUCAUUUAAGAAUCCAUAUAGAGAGUAAACAUGAAGAAGUGAAAUAUCCUUGUGAUAUGUGUGAAUAUGCUGCAUCUAAUGUAAGCAACUUAAAAAGACAUGUUGACACUAAGCAUGAAGUGAAGGAGGAGUAUGAUAUUCAAUCCAUGUAAUAAAUGCGACCCACUGCAAUGUAUAUGUUAAAUGAUCUUAAAGUUCACUUUGAUAUGAACGUCAUUAAUAUGCAGUCCUUUUCUUAAUUUAUGUACUGGUUAAUUUGAAAAUUUAACUUUUCUUGGUGCAAUAGUCUGCGAAGUUCUAAUAGCCUUGAUUGUGUUAAAUUGUGUAAUUAUAGUUAAGCCUAUAUGAUCAAAUACA
RNAcentral lists this unclassified non-coding RNA (2087 nucleotides) under Eurytemora carolleeae. RNAcentral's name for it is "zinc finger protein 431". The record is from RNAcentral. Lineage: Eukaryota; Metazoa; Arthropoda; Copepoda; Calanoida; Temoridae.